AGUGAACGCUGGCGGUAGGCCUAACACAUGCAAGUCGAACGGCAGCACAGUAAGAGCUUGCUCUUACGGGUGGCGAGUGGCGGACGGGUGAGGAAUACAUCGGAAUCUACUUUUUCGUGGGGGAUAACGUAGGGAAACUUACGCUAAUACCGCAUACGACCUACGGGUGAAAGCAGGGGAUAUUCGGACCUUGCGCGACUGAAUGAGACGAUGCCGGAUUAGCUAGUUGGCGGGGUAAAGGCCCACCAAGGCGACGAUCCGUAGCUGGUCUGAGAGGAUGAUCAGCCACACUGGAACUGAGACACGGUCCAGACUCCUACGGGAGGCAGCAGUGGGGAAUAUUGGACAAUGGGCGCAAGCCUGAUCCAGCCAUACCGCGUGGGUGAAGAAGGUCUUCGGGUUGUAAAGCCCUUUUGUUGGGAAAGAAAAGCAGCAUGUUAAUCCCCCGCUGUUCUGACGGUACCCAAAGAAUAAGCACCGGCUAACUUCGUG
RNAcentral lists this ribosomal RNA (492 nucleotides) under uncultured bacterium. RNAcentral describes it as "partial 16S ribosomal RNA". It matches the Rfam family "Bacterial small subunit ribosomal RNA", at positions 29 to 507 of the family's 1533-position model. The record is from RNAcentral.